UGCAAACUGUUGUUAAUGUUGAAAGCGA
This 28-nucleotide non-coding RNA is filed under the name Bombyx mori (domestic silkworm). Lineage: Eukaryota; Metazoa; Arthropoda; Insecta; Lepidoptera; Bombycidae. The record is from RNAcentral.